AUUGGGCGUAAGAGAGUGCAGGCGGUUUUCUAAGUCUGAUGUGAAAGCCUUCGGCUUAACCGGAGAAGUGCAUCGGAAACUGGAUAACUUGAGUGCAGAAGAGGGUAGUGGAACUCCAUGUGUAGCGGUGGAAUGCGUAGAUAUAUGGAAGAACACCAGUGGCGAAGGCGGCUACCUGGUCUGCAACUGACGCUGAGACUCGAAAGCAUGGGUAGCGAACAGGAUUAGAUACCCUGGUAGUCCAUGCCGUAAACGAUGAGUGCUAGGUGUUGGAGGGUUUCCGCCCUUCAGUGCCGGAGCUAACGCAUUAAGCACUCCGCCUGGGGAGUACGACCGCAAGGUUGAAACUCAAAGGAAUUGACGGGGGCCCGCACAAGCGGUGGAGCAUGUGGUUUAAUUCGAAGCUACGCGAAGAACCUUACCAGGUCUUGACAUCUUGCGCCAACCCUAGAGAUAGGGCGUUUCCUUCGGGAACGCAAUGACAGGUGGUGCAUGGUCGUCGUCAGCUCGUGUCGUGAGAUGUUGGGUUAAGUCCCGCAACGAGCGCAACCCUUGUUACUAGUUGCCAGCAUUAAGUUGGGCACUCUAGUGAGACUGCCGGUGACAAACCGGAGGAAGGUGGGGACGACGUCAGAUCAUCAUGCCCCUUAUGACCUGGGCUACACACGUGCUACAAUGGACGGUACAACGAGUCGCGAACUCGCGAGGGCAAGCAAAUCUCUUAAAACCGUUCUCAGUUCGGACUGCAGGCUGCAACUCGCCUGCACGAAGUCGGAAUCGCUAGUAAUCGCCGGAUCAGCAUGCCCGCGGUGGAAUACGUUCCCGAGGCCUUGUACACGACCGGCCGUUCACACCAUUGAGAAGUUUUGUAACCAUCCCAAGGUCGGUAGAGGUAACCGAUUUUAGGAACCACACCCGACCUAAAGGUG
This 929-nucleotide ribosomal RNA is filed under the name Limosilactobacillus fermentum. RNAcentral's name for it is "bacterial SSU rRNA". It matches the Rfam family "Bacterial small subunit ribosomal RNA", at positions 553 to 1464 of the family's 1533-position model. The record is from RNAcentral. Lineage: Bacteria; Bacillati; Bacillota; Bacilli; Lactobacillales; Lactobacillaceae.